UUUACAUUUGGUGUAGUCAAAUGUAUUGAUUUUCUUUCCCUUAGUGAUUUUUUUUUCCACUGCUUUUAUGCUUAGAAAAUCCUUUCUCAUCCAGAGAGCGAAUAAAUAUCAUUGAAAUGUUUGAAGCAGCGGAGUGGUAUGGGUGGAUGAUUAAUAAUAAAAUUUACAGAUUUGAUGUAGUGGCAAAAAAGGAAACUGGGUUAAAAUAAUUAAACCUUCCUUCUUUAUCCACCCCAAACCCAGCCCAAGGUUAAAGUCGGGAAUGGCUAGGCAUUAAAGAAAAGGACUGGGCAGAUUGGGAACAAUGGGAGGAGUCUUGAAGGACUAGCAGGAGGUUGGACAGGCAGACAGGGUGAGUUGAAUAAGUAUGAGGAGGACGUUACAUGUUCCAAGGUAAGAUCUGAAGGCACGUAGCAUGUUUAAUUAGACUCUUAGCUGAGACAAAGCAGUGAUGGGAGAGGGGAUUGAGAAGGGGUCGGGGAAGGCCAGAGGGCUCAUAAAUCAUGUGAAGAGGUUAGGACUUCAUUCCGAGAACAAUGGUGAACCACUGAAGACAGAAUCCAAGUAAUUCUUGGUGACUCAGGAGCAAGUCUGCAUAGAACUUUGUUUGAGAAGGCACAGUCUCCCAGUCAAAAACAACUAGAAAGAAAGGCCAAUGACAGCAUCCCACUGACCAUGGCACUGGUAGGCGCUCUUUAGAGAAUAAACUCUCUUCAUCUGGACCAGAUGGCGGGCAGACAAUAUCUGCUCUUAUCCUUGCCUUUCCCUCCAUUCCUAGCGCUGGGAAAGAGGCUGAGCUUUGGAGGCAGACUGACCUUUCUGGCAGAUUCUGACUCUGCCCCUCCAAAGCCAUCUCUUUUCCCACCUGUCUGCCUCCCUCCCUUCCACAGAUGUCAUUGGAUCUCUCUUAUAUGGGCAGAGCAGAGAUAAACCACAGAAUUUCUGUGCUUGUAAGAUUAUGGACUGGAGGGAAGAGAGAGAUUACUUAAGUGAGUGAUUACUUAAAUACAUAGAAAAUUUAAAGUUUUAAAAUAUUUUAAAAAGAGAGCCAGGAUCUUAUGAAAGAUUAUUAGGGAAAUGGAUUGUGAAGAUGUCAAUGACUGCUCACUUCUAUUGAAAGGGAUCUACUCUCUGCAGGGUAAGCAGGAGUUCAGAGAUGAAGGUGUGGGGACGCAAGCCACAGUACAUGUGAAGGUACCUGGGCGGGAGGACCAGACCUGAGACAGUGCCAUUGUGACUGGAGAACAGAUGGGACAGGUGACAAAGAGGCAGGAGGGCAAUCAUGCCAGACCUUGUAGGUCAGGUGGAGGACUUUGAUCUUUAUCUGGAAAGCAAUGUGAAUCCAUAUUCAAAUGGCUCAUUCAGAGCUGAGACUUAAACCUAUUUCUUCCAACUUGAGAGGGUCCCAAGGUACCAGAAUGCACACCAGGCAAGCACCCCCUUCUCCAGGAUCCAGUCUUGGAGCCCCUGGCCCUUGAGGGUGCUCCCACACUGAAUGCAGGAUCCAGGAUCAGAAGCCAGGCUUAAGCUGGAGCAGGCCCUCUCCGAUAACUGGGUCUCAACAUGCAGCCCAGAAAGACCAUCUCCUGGAAAACAGAGGAAACUGAAUGAUAGCUAAAGCCACCUUCUCUGAAGAAAAAAAGGAUUAACCAGGAGAAGAAUUCACAAAAAGUUGCAAAAAGAAUACAGGGAAAUAUGUGUUCCCUUCUUCCCUUUUCCUCCAGUAAUUACAGACUAUGAAACAAUGGUGUAAUAGCAAAUCAUGGACAUCAGCAUCACUACAAUACACUAUCGGUUUCCCUGAGAGCAAAUCCCUGGGAUGUAAGUCUGAGAAGAUGAAUGCUAGUCGAGUAAUUCCCUGCUGAUCCAGAGAUCUUGUGACUUCAAUGAGGGCCAACAUAGCAGAAACUUGAAUAAGGAAGGGCCUCUGGUCGUUUAAAACAAGCUCAUGCUCUUACAUGGCAAUAUCCUCCAGGCCAUUUACUCUGAGACUUUUGACAAUUCAUGUGCAGUUCUGAAAAGUGUGGUUAUUCGUUUCUGCUCCCUCCCAAAUAAUAAU
Talpa occidentalis (Iberian mole) is the source of this 2059-nucleotide long non-coding RNA. RefSeq lists it as uncharacterized. The record is from RefSeq and is a predicted model, not a curated record. The transcript has 6 exons. Lineage: Eukaryota; Metazoa; Chordata; Mammalia; Eulipotyphla; Talpidae.